RNAcentral lists this microRNA precursor (190 nucleotides) under Eucalyptus grandis. Its description in RNAcentral is "mir-166 microRNA precursor family". It matches the Rfam family "mir-166 microRNA precursor family". From Rfam's summary of the family: This family represents the plant microRNA (miRNA) precursor mir-166. Animal miRNAs are transcribed as ~70nt precursors and subsequently processed by the Dicer enzyme to give a ~22nt product. The record is from Rfam by way of RNAcentral. Lineage: Eukaryota; Viridiplantae; Streptophyta; Magnoliopsida; Myrtales; Myrtaceae.
UUUGAGGGGAAUGUUGUCUGGUGCGAGGCCGCCAUCUCGGAUCACCGAUCUUCGUCUCGCAAGAUCGGUUAUUUAUGUGCUUUUGUUGUUGUGGGUCGGGAUCGCCGCGUACCCAUUUGAGAUGAUGACGUGAUUCGAUCGAUCGGAUCAUGAGCUUGACGACCUCGGACCAGGCUUCAUUCCCCCCAAA